CUUGACGAUCAUAGAGCGUUGGAACCACCUGAUCCCUUCCCGAACUCAGAAGUGAAACGACGCAUCGCCGAUGGUAGUGUGG
Molecule: ribosomal RNA, 82 nt
Filed under: Pseudomonas aeruginosa
Lineage: Bacteria; Pseudomonadati; Pseudomonadota; Gammaproteobacteria; Pseudomonadales; Pseudomonadaceae
Source: RNAcentral